This 384-nucleotide long non-coding RNA is filed under the name Capsella rubella. Its description in RNAcentral is "long non-coding RNA (CRUB_LNC004318)". The record is from RNAcentral. Lineage: Eukaryota; Viridiplantae; Streptophyta; Magnoliopsida; Brassicales; Brassicaceae.
UCUUUUUCAUCCUUUUUCUCUCGAGUUUGAAAGCUAACUUUCUGAACCUUAUUCUAUUGGAGAGGGGUGUAUCGUGUAAUUAAGAUAUAUUUGCUGUAUAGUUUAGUAAAGUAUCUUUACACAUUUUUUUUUUUUUUUUGUGAAUAAUAAUCAAAGAGGUUCUGGGCCGAAAGCUUAUACAUCCCCUCAGGCCCAAAAUCAAAACAUGUUAUAUGAUUUCGUCUCAAGCACUACUCAAACCGGCGACCUCUAAGCUUUUGCCAGAGAUCUUUACCAAUUGAGGUAUUAUCACUUGGUCAUCUUUACACAUUUAGGUUAUUUGUAAUCGUGUAUAUAAGGCAAAGCCUACACAUCUUAAUAAAGCGAGAAAACCUUUUAUACUAA